CCCGCUCCCCACCCCCCGCUCCGCCCGGGGGAAAACCUCCGGGAACGAGCGGACCCAUCCCCGCCUCUCCUCCCCCUCCUCCUCCUCCUCCUCCCCCUUCUCCUUCUCGCCCGGUGCCGCCGGGAUGAGCCUCCCACGAUUUCGUUUCCAUUUCGGGCAACAACGAUUCCCGCUCCCCCGCCUCCCUCCGCCUCCCGCCAGCCCCGCGCUCGCUUUCCCCUCCGAGGAAAAAAACGAAAAAACGCCGAGAAAACGGCUAAAAGCAAAAAGCCCCACAGCCCCAAAUUCUCUUUGCUGGAAUCGGUUCAGUCCCCGCCGCUCCUCGGCGCCCGGUGAGUCCCCUCUGCUCCCCGCUUCUCUCCCGUCGAGCCCGGAGCGGUCCCCGCCGCUCCCCCGGUGCCCACCGCGCUCCGGCGCAUCCCGGUUUUCCCCGGCGGGUGCAAAAUUCCCGAUCCCCGCCGCUCCCGGGCGGUUUUCCCCCUCCCCGAUGGAUCCCGGGGCUCCUCGGUCCCCGCCACUCCCGGGCGAUGCUCCCGUGCCCCGGUGGGUGCCGACAUUCCCGGUCCCCGCCGCUCCCGGCCGGUUCUCUCCAGCCCCCGAUGGAUAUUGGUGCUCCCCGGUCCCCGCCGCUCCCGGGAGCUGAUCCUCGAUUCUUGCCGGGAGCUGAUCCCCGGUCCCCGCCACUCCCGGGAGCUGAUCCCCGGUCCCCGCCACUCCCGUUCCCGGUGGGUCCCGCUCUCCCGGUUCAGCACCGGAUGAACCGGGACAGCUCCGCGCCCCUCAAGGUGCCGGGGGCUCCCCAAUCCCCAAUCCCCGAUUCCCGAUCACCAAUCCCCGAUCCCCAUUUCCCAAUCCCUGGUCCCCAAUCCCCCAUUCCCGGUCCCCAACCCCCGAUCCCCAAUCCUGAUCCCCAAUCCCCAAUCCUCAAUCCCCGGUCCCCAAUCCCCGAUUCUUGGUCCCAAAUCCUUGAUCCCCAAUCCCCAAUCCUCAAUUCCCGGUCCCCAAUCCCAAUCCCCAAUCCCCAAUCCUCAAUCCCCGAUCCCCAAUCCCCGAUUCCCGGUCCCAAAUCCUUGAUCCCCGAUCCCCAAUCCUCAAUCCCCGGUCCCCAAUCCCCAAUCCUCAAUUCCCAGUCCCCAAUCUCGAUCCCCGCUCCCCAGUCCCAAUUCCCGCUCCCCAGUCCCAAUCCCCGCUCCCCAAUCCCCAAUCCCCGAUCCCCAAUCCUCAAUCCCCGAUCCCCAGUCCCCAAUCCCGAUUCCCGGUCCCCAAUCCUCAAUCCCUUGUCCCCAGUCCCAAUCCCUGGUCCCCAAUCCUCAAUCCCCGAUCCCCAAUCCUCAAUCCCCGCUCCCCAAUCCUCAAUCCCCGAUCCCCAAUCCUCAAUCCCCGCUCCCCAAUCCCCAAUCCCCGCUCCCCAAUCCUCAAUCCCCGAUCCCCAAUCCUCAAUCCCCGGUCCCCAGUCCCAAUUCCCGCUCCCCAGUCCCAAUCCCCGCUCCCCAAUCCCGAUCCCCGCUCCCCAAUCCCAAUUCCCGAUCCCAAAUCCCCAAUCCCCGAUCCCCAAUCCUCAAUCCCCGAUCCCCAAUCCCAAUCCCCGCUCCCCAAUCCCCUAUUCCCGGUCCCCAAUCCCAAUCCCCGAUCCCAAAUCCCCUAUUCCCGGUCCCCAAUCCCCUCCCCUCGGUGUGUUUUGGGUAGAGUAGCCUUGUAGCCAAGUGUGUGUGUGCCGCAGACGCGCCCGGAGCCGGUGGCCGAGGUCGCCCCGGUGGCCCCGGUGGCCACCAGCCCGCUCGCCGCUCGCCCCGGUGCGGCGGAGAGCCGCGGGCGCUUUCUCUGCG
This is a long non-coding RNA of Taeniopygia guttata (zebra finch), 1826 nucleotides long. The record is from Ensembl. Lineage: Eukaryota; Metazoa; Chordata; Aves; Passeriformes; Estrildidae.